This 10759-nucleotide long non-coding RNA is filed under the name Zea mays. Its description in RNAcentral is "long non-coding RNA (ZMAY_LNC001554)". The record is from RNAcentral. Lineage: Eukaryota; Viridiplantae; Streptophyta; Magnoliopsida; Poales; Poaceae.
AGUUUUCCUCCCUAUCCUCAAGCUCCAGCCAGGUUGCAGCGUGUGUGAGGGUGGUAAAUCUUCUGUCCACACCAGUGUUCACCUCUCCCCUUCCCAAGUUUGCCCAGUCCCUAGGUGGUGACCAUCGUCAGCAGUUAGUCCACCUCGCCGUGACCAGGUAACUUUCAAAGUUUCCUUAGCCGAGCUAUACAUGUUUUGUGCUCUACAUCAGAUAGUGAAGCUCAUAUGAUGAUGAACAAAUCUCCUUAAGACAGUCUUGUUGGAUGCUAUAUGAAAAUUGGAGUAACAGCUGCUCAAAUCUAGACUGUCUGGCGGCUGAAACUGAAUUGUAUUCAGUCCACUGUGACUGAAAUUCAGCACAAGGGUGUCUAGUUUGGAGCCCUAUGGUAAUUAGUGCAAGGCAAUUUGGGUUAGGAAUUCUUUAGCAAACUGAAAGGACAUAUAUAGGAGAACAAAUUCCCUAAAGAGGGUUGGACUUGGUGCUACACAAAAAGAGGAGUUAAAGUGGCUCCAAGUUGUGCUGUCCGACUGGAGAUAUGUAAAUUUAGUUAACUGUUGCUAGCAGUUUGAGUUAGUUUUUACCCAACUUUGGAGCCUUGUGGUAAUUACUCCAAGGGGAAAUGGGUUAGGGAUUCCACAUCCAGAUAAAAGACCACAUCAAGGACAACAAGUUUCAUUCAAGGAAUGGGCUUGCUACUGUAUAAGUUGGCAGUAAAAAGGUGUCCCAAACUUCUCUGCCAGAGUGGGUGCAGUGCUGUUUCAGUUCACUGAAACUGAACUUUUUUGUGAUUUUGCUCUAUUUUGUGGCAUCAUAACUUUUGAUUAGUAUGGUUUCAGUCUGGGGAUGCUAUGCCAAAGUAGUAGAGCUAUGUCUAGAGAAUAACUUGGAGUAAAUGAGUUGUGUUUGUUGUUGAGGGAAUUUGUGAGUUACAAAGCACUGAACAGAGAGAGAGGAAUGGAGCACUAAAAGAUGAAUUCAGAGAACUGAAAAUAGGUUCAAUGAAUUGUGGCUGAUUCUUGGACACUAUAAAUUGUAGUACAUGCAGUUUGGAUCCUUGCUUAAUGCAUAAAUAAAGUACUUGGUUGGUUAUGGAGGCAAGGUUUCCUAGUUUGGUUGGUGAAUUGAGUUGUGAUAUUAGAGUAUUUAGCUCUCUUAAGGUUUUGUUAGUUUUUGUAUGCACCUUUAGAGAGGUGUAAGUCCUGUGAUGCUUCUUAGUAUUUUCUUUUCAAGUUGCAUAAGCAUAAACAUCCAUGAUCAUGUUAUUUCAUAUAGAACUCCCAGCACAAGGACUGAAGCUUCAAGCUGAAGUGGUGACUGAAGAGGAAUCUACUCCAGUGGCUGCUGAUCAAGUGGAGGAGCCAUCUAACUGGGUAGCUUGUAGAGGGAUCUAGACCUCUUCACUGCAACAAAGGCAAGCCCCGGUGCAUGCAACCCCUUCCUUGUGUUUUUAAAUAAUUUUUGCACACUUUAAGUCUAGUGAAAUGUGCAUUAGGUUUAUAGGAGUUGCUGGAAACCCUUUGAUGCAUUGCCUUCCUUGAUAUCCAUACCUUUAUAGAUACUUCUGGUGAAGUAUCAAAAUAUGAUUUUCAAAAAUGCUUAGCCCUGCUUAGAUCUUGUGGAUAGAGGUUGUCUUUUGCAAUACUGCCUAGCUCAGGGGUUAUCCUGAGGAAAGAUGACUUCUACCUGCAAGAAUAUUUUCAUUGAGAGCGUGGUGGGAUCUUACUGCAAAGUUCCCUUUGAUGCUCUUUUCAUCCUAGAAACAUAAACAAUCCUAAGGAUGAAAGUACUUAAAUCGGGACUUGGGCUAGGAACAGGUGAUGUUCUACCCAGGUUAGUUAAGGAUUGGAUGCAUAUGUAGGCCUGUUGAUCAAGGACUAUCUUAACUAGCCACAUGCCCUGGAAAUGGGACAGGGUAAGCUUGAACCCGGCUAUUCCAUACAUGAAAAGACAAUCGCGCACUGGGAGUGGAGAGAUGGCGAGAGUGGCACGUACCCUCCUGGCAAAGGAUCGCCUAAAAGGGGUGGUGUGCUCUCGGGUGGCGUGGACCUGUUCAUGUAGUGGAGGAUCCGUGGGAACGGUUGACAUAUGCAAGGGUUAAGUGCUACAUAUGUCGUGUGGUUAGAGAUCCUCGGCUGAGUAAAUCGAUUCGGAUCGCCGUUAUAUCCCCGGAGAGUGGAGACUUGAUCUCCGACCUACAACCUAAGUCAGGAUGUAAACAUUAUGAAUAAAAAUGAUGUUGUAUUGAUGAGAUGGUGAAAUUAGACCAGAUGCAAAUAGAGUCUAUUAAUAUUUAAUCUGGCGUUAAAAUAUUGAAAGUAAGGACUCACUUUAGUAAGCUAUUUCUGCAAAAGUAUCUAAGUUGAUUCUUGCUAAAGCCUCUCCUUGAUUCCCAAAUCCAGCAUAUCCUUGAGAGUCUUUUCUUUAGUCGGGUAAGUCUUGCUGAGUAAUUCCAUACUCAGGGUUUUAUUCCCUGUUGUUUUUCAGGUUAUAGUUUUGUGCUGAUGUUGAUGGUGUUAAGUGCCGGUGGGCUCGGCCUUCUUAUAUAAGUAUACCCCAUCUUUAUCUUCUUAUUGAGGAUGGUCACUUGAGCUAGCAUAUAUUUUAAACUUAUAAAUAAUUUAUAACAGUUUAAAGUUAUUUCUUUGAAUCACCUUUGUAAUCACCCCGGUCAUGUACAAUGUAAAAUUUUUGUAACCUGUAAAAUUUGGUACUAAGAUUUCCGCUGCAAAAAUGUUGUGUGUGUGAUUUGUGUUACUUAAUCCCGCGGUUCUGGUUGUAAGUGGUUUAUCCGAGGUCCUUGGGGCACUCAGACGGAUCCUGUUAAGUUAUUUGGUACACAUGCAUAGCCGUCUGAGGUCUUUGAGACAAGGACAGGUGCAUGUGGGCCCAAUAGCUUGGGAGGUUCUGCCACAGCUGGUAUCGGAGCUGGAUUAAGUAUAUACGGUCACAUACGUAUUUUUAAAACAAAAGUUUUGGUUUUGAAAAACCUAUUUUCAACUAAACACAUUGUUUGGCUUUGAAAAACAGUUUUGAAAAACUAUAAUGCUAGCGACAUCCUCUGUUAAGCCCUAAGUUAAGGACUAUAAGGUGGCUUAGUUUAGGAUGCUAACCACUAAUCCACAACUAUAAUGCAACUUUCUGCAGGUACACUAACUAAACCCUAGGAAAGUACGACUAGUGUUCAAUGACGGAGUGAGUAGGUAUGCCACCGUCAUAGAACGUGAUAGCCACUAUAUGUUGGCAAGAAUUAUGAGGACGAAUAGGACGAGCAUGCAUCAUGACAUACAAUUUUAAGUUAAACCCCCUAUGUAGUAGCUUAGUACAUGUUUCAUCCAUCUUAUUCAUGCUAUCUAUCUUUGCUUUUCUAUACUACCUUUUCCUAUUCGUGAAGCCUUGAGACUCAGUUCAUUUCGUGGACCUGUAGUUUAUAAGGUACAGUUGCCAAAGAAUUUGUCAACAGUGCACAACAUGUUCUACGUGUCCUAGUUAAAGAAAUGUUUUCGAGUCCUCAAGCAUGUUAUUGAGAUUGCAGAUGUUAACCUUGGACCAGAUUUAACCUACUUGGAAUAUCACAUAAAGGUGUUGGAUCUAAAGGAUCGGGUCACUCGAAGAAAAUUUAUCAAGUUUUGUAAGCUACAGUGGAACCAACACCCGGAAGAUAAACCAUAUGGGAACCAGAGGAGUAUUUAGAAAAACAUUUUCCUGAGUUCCUAGGUUCUCGUAAGUCCUAGGAUUUGUGUAGUUUGUCUUUGGUAUGAACCAAUAGGGGCACACCCCUGCUUUGUAGGAGUAAUGGGGAAAUAAGCCAGUGACGCAUUUCCUUUUCCAUUAUCUAGCCUAGAGUUUUAAAUCUCGGGACGAGAUUUCUUUUUAGGGGGGAAGGCUGUAACACCUCUGGUGUUACGUAAACUAAAACUCUGACAUGUCAUCAUAAGCAUCUGCAUUAAUGUGCUUGUUACACCUAGAAUGCAUUCACUAGGUUAAACUUUUUCAAAAGUGUGAUGUUGUGUGUUGGGUUUAGAGUUUAGUCUAAGGACUUGGCUUAAGCUAAACAGGGGUAGGUCAUCUCUUAAGCAAGUAACAAGUUGACUUGGAGUCUUAAAUGUUAAAGGUAAGUCUUAUAGCCUAGAGUAGACUUGUUUUGGAAUGAUGGUCAAGUGGAAGAAGCGCUUAAGAAGCUGGAAUAACUCCAAACCUUAACUUGAGCUUUGCUUGGAAUAGAUGGUUAAGUAAAGGAAAUUCUAAACCAGAACAUUUUGGAUAUGAGCUAUGUGUAUCAAAGAUUGGAUCUUAGACUAGAGAGUAACCUUGUUUCUGAUGGAUGGAUCAAAGGGAUGAAUCCUUGGAAGAAGCUGAAAUACAAAUGAAACUCAUUUGAAAUCCUAAAACUAGCCCAAAAGAGGAAUUCUAAAAUCUGGAAAUAAUUUGACAAAAGUCCAUAUAUCAAAGUUGUGGAGCUUGGAAAAGUGGAUAUGUUUCUUAUUUGGAGAUUCCUAAGUUGUGUGGAAGAAUUUGGAGUUAAGUACAAAAAUUCAGUUUUGGGUUCAUUUUAGAAUUGCUGAAAAUAAUAUAAACUAGACAACUUUGGACUCUUGUAACUUCUGAUCUAGAACCAUUUUGAAGAUGAUCAUUAUAACAAAGUUAUAGAGCUACAUGAGGAGUUUAAGUUUGGUUAAGUCAUAUAGCUCUAAAACUAUAUGGAACUUUGAGUAAAACUGGUCCAAAUAAAGCUGUCAAAAAUUGUGGAUUUCAGACUUAGUGAAAUUCAGAUUCUGAAUUUCAGCAAUUGGAGCAAACUUUGGGCUAUUGUAGUUUGGAAUUUAAGAGGUUUUGGUUAAUGGUCACUAUAUCAAACUUGUAGAGGAACUAGAGGAGUAUAAACUUUAUUAAGAAACUUGACCCUAAAAACAUUUGGAACCUAGAAAAAAGAGUGGUUCCAAGUGGUGCUGCUUUACUUCUGAAUUUUCAGAUUGAAAACAGUAACUGAAACUGAGUUUCAGUGUUUUGAUAGCAGUUUUGAAGCCUAUUUGUGGCUACUCUAUAAGGUUUUGUGUUAUGGUGUUUGUAAAAUAAGUGAAGACCAUAUAAUGUGGAACAACUUUCUUAUAGGGUGGUGGACCUGAUCCCAUACAAAAAGUGCAGAAAUAGUUGCUCAAAGAUUGGAUUGUCAGGUUGGUUAAUAACUGAAUUUUUAUUCAGUUCUGAACCCUGAAUGGCAGCAAGUUGCCCAGUUUGGAGCUCUAUGAUAAUUAAUCUACGGAGAUUUUGGUUAAGCGUUUUGUAGUAAAGUCAAAGUCCAUAUGAAGGGGAACAUGUCUCUUGAAGUGAGUGGGCCUGGUACUGUACAAGGUUGUGAGUAAAAUUGCUCCCAAACUUGCCCUGUCAGAAUUAGUGUAUGCCGUUUCAGACCUCUAAAACUGAAUUUUCAGUGUUUUUCUUUAGACUUUGGAGCUAGUUGAUGGUUGAUCCAAGGGGUAAAAGCUUAAGGGUUCUGUGGAGGAAUCAUAGAGGGUUGUUUGGUGGACAAGUUUUAUUUAACUUGCUCUCCCUGUUAUUACGAGAAAUUGAGAAGUUGAAGGGGGUUAACAGGGAGGUACGCAACAAGACAAUAGAGCUGAUGAGGCUGAUUCAGAAUUGGGUUCAGAUUCUGUUCAAGUAACUGAAGAAGAUCUGUCUUCCUUGUUGUGUUUAUAUUUGAGUGAAGGGGUAGAGAUAAGGAUUAAAUGCAUAGCUUAGAAGUUUGGGGCUCACUCUGUACUGAAAUAUCCAGUUUUGGACUGUUUGAAGGCAGUGAACAGGGAGACUUUAUCUGUUAGCCUUGGAUGGAUUGAGCUGGGCAGCAAAGUAACUCUAGUGGCUACCCCAUUAGAAAUAUCAAGUCUUGGACAUCUUUGUGCUUAGCCACAAGUGGUGUUCUCAGCCACACGCCUGCCUGUCUGUGUUCACUGAAUAAGGUUGAUAUUUUGGGCUGUUAGAGCAUAUCCACAAGGGAUAUUUGUGUGCUAGCUGUCCAGAUUCAGUGUCUAUAUUGUGCCUGUCAGUUUGUGAGUAUUUGAUGCAUGAAAGCCACGUAUUGGAGCCCAGGUUGUGCUGGCAUCUCUGGGAACUCUUCACCUCCAUGCACUGCACAGGUUUAGUGACAUCUGUCCUUCAUCUGUGGCUAUAAAACUUGGUCCAGGGAAGUUUUCCUCCCUAUCCUCAAGCUCCAGCCAGGUUGCAGCGUGUGUGAGGGUGGUAAAUCUUCUGUCCACACCAGUGUUCACCUCUCCCCUUCCCAAGUUUGCCCAGUCCCUAGGUGGUGACCAUCGUCAGUAGUUAGUCCACCUCGCCGUGACCAGGUAACUUUCAAAGUUUCCUUAGCCGAGCUAUACAUGUUUUGUGCUCUACAUCAGAUAGUGAAGCUCAUAUGAUGAUGAACAAAUCUCCUUAAGACAGUCUUGUUGGAUGCUAUAUGAAAAUUGGAGUAACAGCUGCUCAAAUCUAGACUGUCUGGCGGCUGAAACUGAAUUGUAUUCAGUCCACUGUGAACUGAAAUUCAGCACAAGGGUGUCUAGUUUGGAGCCCUAUGGUAAUUAGUGCAAGGCAAUUUGGGUUAGGAAUUCUUUAGCAAACUGAAAGGACAUAUAUAGGAGAACAAAUUCCCUAAAGAGGGUUGGACUUGGUGCUACACAAAAAGAGGAGUUAAAGUGGCUCCAAGUUGUGCUGUCCGACUGGAGAUAUGUAAAUUUAGUUAACUGUUGCUGGCAGUUUGAGUUAGUUUUUACCCAACUUUGGAGCCUUGUGGUAAUUACUCCAAGGGGAAAUGGGUUAGGGAUUCCACAUCCAGAUAAAAGACCACAUCAAGGACAACAAGUUUCAUUCAAGGAAUGGGCUUGCUACUGUAUAAGUUGGCAGUAAAAAGGUGUCCCAAACUUCUCUGCCAGAGUGGGUGCAGUGCUGUUUCAGUUCACUGAAACUGAACUUUUUUGUGAUUUUGCUCUAUUUUGUGGCAUCAUAACUUUUGAUUAGUAUGGUUUCAGUCUGAGGAUGCUAUGCCAAAGUAGUAGAGCUAUGUCUAGAGAAUAACUUGGAGUAAAUGAGUUGUGUUUGUUGUUGAGGGAAUUUGUGAGUUACAAAGCACUGAACAGAGAGAGAGGAAUGGAGCACUAAAAGAUGAAUUCAGAGAACUGAAAAUAGGUUCAAUGAAUUGUGGCUGAUUCUUGGACACUAUAAAUUGUAGUACAUGCAGUUUGGAUCCUUGCUUAAUGCAUAAAUAAAGUACUUGAUUGGUUAUGGAGGCAAGGUUUCCUAGUUUGGUUGGUGAAUUGAGUUGUGAUAUUAGAGUAUUUAGCUCUCUUAAGGUUUUGUUAGUUUUUGUAUGCACCUUUAGAGAGGUGUAAGUCCUGUGAUGCUUCUUAGUAUUUUCUUUUCAAGUUGCAUAAGCAUAAACAUCCAUGAUCAUGUUAUUUCAUAUAGAACUCCCAGCACAAGGACUGAAGAUUCAAGCUGAAGUGGUGACUGAAGAGGAAUCUACUCCAGUGGCUGCUGAUCAAGUGGAGGAGCCAUCUAACUGGGUAGCUUGUAGAGGGAUCUAGACCUCUUCACUGCAACAAAGGCAAGCCCCGGUGCAUGCAACCCCUUCCUUGUGUUUUUAAAUAAUUUUUGCACACUUUAAGUCUAGUGAAAUGUGCAUUAGGUUUAUAGGAGUUGCUUGAAACCCUUUGAUGCAUUGCCUUCCUUGAUAUCCAUACCUUUAUAGAUACUUCUGGUGAAGUAUCAAAAUAUGAUUUUCAAAAAUGCUUAGCCCUGCUUAGAUCUUGUGGAUAGAGGUUGUCUUUUGCAAUACUGCCUAGCUCAGGGGUUAUCCUGAGGAAAGAUGACUUCUACCUGCAAGAAUAUUUUCAUUGAGAGCGUGGUGGGAUCUUACUACAAAGUUCCCUUUGAUGCUCUUUUCAUCCUAGGAACAUAAACAAUCCUAAGGAUGAAAGUACUUAAAUCGGGACUUGGGCUAGGAAUAGGUGAUGUUCUACCCAGGUUAGCUAAGGAUUGGAUGCGUAUGUAGGCCUGUUGAUCAAGGACUAUCUUAACUAGCCACAUGCCCUGGAAAUGGGACAGGGUAAGCUUGAACCCGGCUAUUCCAUACAUGAAAAGACAAUCGCGCACUGGGAGUGGAGAGAUGGCGAGAGUGGCACGUACCCUCCUGGCAAAGGAUCGCCUAAAAGGGGUGGUGUGCUCUCGGGUGGCGUGGACCUGUUCAUGUAGUGGAGGAUCCGUGGGAACGGUUGACAUAUGCAAGGGUUAAGUGCUACAUAUGUCGUGUGGUUAGAGAUCCUCAGCUGAGUAAAUCGAUUCGGAUCGCCGUUAUAUCCCCGGAGAGUGGAGACUUGAUCUCCGACCUACAACCUAAGUCAGGAUGUAAACAUUAUGAAUAAAAAUGAUGUUGUAUUGAUGAGAUGGUGAAAUUAGACCAGAUGCAAAUAGAGUCUAUUAAUAUUUAAUCUGGCGUUAAAAUAUUGAAAGUAAGGACUCACUUUAGUAAGCUAUUUCUGCAAAAGUAUCUAAGUUGAUUCUUGCUAAAGCCUCUCCUUGAUUCCCAAAUCCAGCAUAUCCUUGAGAGUCUUUUCUUUAGUCGGGUAAGUCUUGCUGAGUAAUUCCAUACUCAGGGUUUUAUUCCCUGUUGUUUUUCAGGUUAUAGUUUUGUGCUGCUGUUGAUGGUGUUAAGUGCCGGUGGGCUCGGCCUUCUUAUAUAAGUAUACCCCAUCUUUAUCUUCUUAUUGAGGAUGGUCACUUGAGCUAGCAUAUAUUUUAAACUUAUAAAUAAUUUAUAACAGUUUAAAGUUAUUUCUUUGAAUCACCUUUGUAAUCACCCCGGUCAUGUACAAUGUAAAAUUUUUGUAACCUGUAAAAUUUGGUACUAAGAUUUCCGCUGCAAAAAUGUUGUGUGUGUGAUUUGUGUUACUUAAUCCCGCGGUUCUAGUUGUAAGUGGUUUAUCCGAGGUCCUUGGGGCACUCAGACGGAUCCUGUUAAGUUAUUUGGUGCACAUGCAUAGCCGUCUGAGGUCUUUGAGACAAGGACAGGUGCAUGUGGGCCCAAUAGCUUGGGAGGUUCUGCCACAGGUACCGGGGUCCUCGGUCACUUGCUCGUCUACUCGCAACAAUACAAACAAACAUGGUAUAGAAGAAAUUAACAUCACACCAAAUAGAGGAAUAUAAUGUAUGAUAAUAUUCUACGCACCAUAACGAGAUCGUGGGUUCGAGAAUCACUAAAUUUGGAUUUACGGUUAAAAAGUUAUGAUUUUACGAAGUUUCAAGUUUUUGGUACGGAAUAAACUACGUGGAUAAUUUUAAUCUAUGUUUCAUGAUAAAACAGGCUUAUUAGAUGAUAAAUAAUAUUAAUACAAAAUUAAUGCAACUGGAAUGGGUAAAAAAGGAGUUAAAAUGGUCAAGUUAUGAAUUUUGUAAACUCCUUAAAUUUGUUUUUUAUACUAAAAACAAUUUUCUCCAUUUAUUUUUAUAUAAAAUGUCUUUUGGACCGUGGGCACAAAUUCUAGGGAAUACCGGGGCACAACUGCAAAUUCUAGGGCUCGGGUGUAAUUUAUUUCCACUGAGAAAGGAUGGUAGGUUGAUUUUUAUUAAGCCUAGGGACUCUUUCGCAAAACGAUCGGGCCGAAGAGGUAUCCCACGCUACGAUCCCCACGAUCCUAUAUAGAUGGUUCAAAUUAAAUCAGCCCCGCACUGAAACGGUAUGCGCCCGUGGCCGUUAGAUCGGCAACCAACAGACCAGAUUUAAAACCCCAACGAUUGAUUCCCACGCGUAUGAUUCGAAUCGGACAGUUCAGUUUACUCUAACCGAAUCGGUACGCUCGGGGAGAUCCGGGCCGUUCAUCCCGAUCCUACUGUUCCGACCAUCACACAGACUCUUCUAAUCUUAACAGUUCAUCGCAAAAUCGAUGGCCCAGAACGCGCCUCUACCACGCUACCCCCACGGCGGCGGCGCCGCCACCAACCACGGCGGGGGAUGCCCGGAGUUGGGCGAACCGGCACCGCAGUGCUGCUAUUCUAUCGUGGUUUGGGGUUAUACAGAGAACAAGGUACGAUGAACACAAUGGUACGCUCCUUACCGCGAAUGGGUGCUUGGGUGGUGCUGGCCACGACGAUAGGUGGACCCGAGACUAUGCACGAUUGUCGGUGAGCAAUUGAAGCUGUCCCGAUGACCGGUCUCGCCCGGCCCCGCUACGAACGCCCGCUAGGAACAACGGCGAAGCUUCACUGCCCGACUCCGAGUCCUCAACAGAGACGAGGUCGAGGAUCGACUGCGGCGGCGUUCAGCCGAACCCUUCCCUCACUAGUGGCGAUGGAAUUGAGUGCGACAAAAGAAGGCAUGGGGAGUUAGGGUUUGACGCUGCGUUUUAUAGUCACCAGGAAGGUUGGUUGAGUUGCCAGCUGCGGUCCAUCGAGCGGCGAACUUGGCGAAAGUUUGUUACAGGGGAGGAGGAAGAUCUACAUCGCUCGCCUAACAUGUGGGUUUCGUGUGACAGCGUUCGACGACAUGAACACGCCCAUCGCAGCUAGUGAGACUGACAAGCAGGCCCAUGCGUAAGUGCAAGGGUGGCAUGGCACUUGCGCGGUGUGUGGCUGCGCAGGUGGUCCCACUUGUCGUCGUGCAACGCAGUGAAGGCGCAUGGCUGACCAGCGGACCCAGUGGUCGGCGUAGACAUCCAACUGGGCCACGUCGCGGGGAGAAAGUUGGGCCGCAGUAAGGACUUUGGGCCUGGCACG